This 603-nucleotide ribosomal RNA is filed under the name uncultured fungus. Its description in RNAcentral is "eukaryotic LSU rRNA". It matches the Rfam family "Eukaryotic large subunit ribosomal RNA", at positions 23 to 641 of the family's 3401-position model. Lineage: Eukaryota; Fungi. The record is from RNAcentral.
ACCCGCUGAACUUAAGCAUAUCAAUAAGCGGAGGAAAAGAAACCAACAGGGAUUGCCCUAGUAACGGCGAGUGAAGCGGCAACAGCUCAAAUUUGAAAUCUGGCGUCUUUGGCGUCCGAGUUGUAAUUUGCAGAGGGCGCUUUGGCAUUGGCAGCGGUCCAAGUUCCUUGGAACAGGACGUCACAGAGGGUGAGAAUCCCGUACGUGGUCGCUAGCCUUUACCGUGUAAAGCCCCUUCGACGAGUCGAGUUGUUUGGGAAUGCAGCUCUAAAUGGGAGGUAAAUUUCUUCUAAAGCUAAAUACUGGCCAGAGACCGAUAGCGCACAAGUAGAGUGACCGAAAGAUGAAAAGCACUUUGGAAAGAGAGUUAAAAAGCACGUGAAAUUGUUGAAAGGGAAGCGCUUGCAGCCAGACUUGCCUGUAGUUGCUCAUCCGGGUUUUUACCCGGUGCACUCUUCUAUAGGCAGGCCAGCAUCAGUUUGGGCGGUUGGAUAAAGGUCUCUGUCAUGUACCUCUCUUCGGGGAGAACUUAUAGGGGAGACGACAUGCAACCAGCCCGGACUGAGGUCCGCGCAUCUGCUAGGAUGCUGGCGUAAUGGCUGU